RNAcentral lists this ribosomal RNA (301 nucleotides) under uncultured bacterium. RNAcentral's name for it is "partial 16S ribosomal RNA". It matches the Rfam family "Bacterial small subunit ribosomal RNA", at positions 509 to 807 of the family's 1533-position model. The record is from RNAcentral.
CAGCCGCCACGGUAAGACAGAGGGUGCAAGCGUUAUCCGGAUUGAUUGGGUGUAAAGGGUGUGCAGACGGCUUAUUAAGUCACUUGUUAAAUUCUUCGGCCUAACUGAAGGUCUGCAAGUGAUACUGAUGAGCUAGAGGGUGGAAGAGAGAAGUGGAAUUCUCGGAGUAGCGGUAAAAUGCGUAGAUCUCGAGAGGAACACCAAUGGCGAAGGCAGCUUCUUGGUCCAUUCCUGACGUUCAUACACGAAAGCGUGGGGAGCAAACAGGAUUAGAUACCCCGGUAGUCCCUGUCUCUUAUAC